UACGAAGGGGGCUAGCGUUGUUCGGAUUUACUGGGCGUAAAGCGCGCGUAGGCGGAUCGCUAAGUCAGGGGUGAAAUCCCAAGGCUCAACCUUGGAAUUGCCUUUGAUACUGGCAAUCUGGAGUUCGGGAGAGGUGAGUGGAAUUCCGAGUGUAGAGGUGAAAUUCGUAGAUAUCCGGAGGAACACCGGUGGCGAAGGCGGCUUCCUGGACCGACACUGACGCUGAGGCGCGAAAGCUAGGGGAGCAAACGGG
Molecule: ribosomal RNA, 253 nt
Filed under: uncultured bacterium
Lineage: Bacteria
Description: partial 16S ribosomal RNA
Rfam family: Bacterial small subunit ribosomal RNA
Source: RNAcentral